UACGUAGGCAGCAAGCGUUGUUCGGAAUUACUGGGCGUAAAGAGUGUGUAGGCGGUGCUCUAAGUCCUGUGUGAAAUCCCCCGGCUCAACUGGGGAACUGCACAGGAAACUAGCGGGCUUGAGUUCGGGAGAGGGAAGCGGAAUUCCGGGUGUAGCGGUGAAAUGCGUAGAUAUCCGGAGGAACACCGGUGGCGAAGGCGGCUUCCUGGACCGACACUGACGCUGAGGCGCGAAAGCUAGGGGAGCAAACGGG
RNAcentral lists this ribosomal RNA (253 nucleotides) under uncultured bacterium. RNAcentral describes it as "partial 16S ribosomal RNA". It matches the Rfam family "Bacterial small subunit ribosomal RNA", at positions 524 to 776 of the family's 1533-position model. The record is from RNAcentral.